Molecule: ribosomal RNA, 973 nt
Filed under: Taenia tianguangfui
Lineage: Eukaryota; Metazoa; Platyhelminthes; Cestoda; Cyclophyllidea; Taeniidae
Description: 16S ribosomal RNA
Rfam family: Archaeal large subunit ribosomal RNA (bases 648-930)
Source: RNAcentral
UAAUCUAAAGAUUAUUAUUGAUAAGUUGUUUAGGUUUAUUUGCCUUUUGCAUCAUGCUUAAUAGAUUGUUGCAUUGUAUUAAUGGAUAUCGAAAAGUUUAGAUCUUAAAAUUAAUUGUUAGGAAUAUUAUUUGACUUGGGUAAAGUUAAUUAAAUUAAUUUUAUGAGGUGAUAAAUAAUUCGUUAAACUUUAUAUCUAUUUAGUUGUCAUGAGUUUUGUAUUACAUAAUAGGUUAAAAGAUUUAUUAUGGGGUUAUAUUGUAUAAUGUUAUUGUUAUAAGAUUAGGUUAAAAGUACCUAUUUUUUAUAAGUUUGUUAUAAAAUUAGUUAAUUGGAUUUAUAAUUAAUGGUAAUGACAACUUUAUGUAAAAAUUUAGAUUGUAUUUAUUAUUAAAUAAGUAAUUAUAAUAUGUUAAUUAUUUCUAAAUAUCUCUCCGUCUGUUUAUUAAAAACAUUUCUAACUUGAAUUAUAGUUAGUAGUGCCUGCCCAGUGUUGUUAAAUAAACGGCCGCAGUAUAUUGACUGUGCAAAGGUAGCAUAAUUAAUUGCCCUUUAAUUGGGGGCUUGUUUGAAUGGUUUGACGUGAGAGUUAUGAAUAUUUAAUAUUUAUGUGAAAUUGAUUAUAAGGGUUCAGAAUCCUUAUAUUUUAAUAAGACGGAAAGACCCUAGGAUCUUUUGUUUUUGUUUGGGGCAAACGUUAUUUUUUUAAUAAUAUUAUGACCCUGAUUUACUAGAAUAAUUGGUUAAGUUACCCUAGGGAUAACAGUGUAAUAAUUAAUAAGAGAUCUUAUCGAAUUAAUUGUUUGCCACCUCGAUGUUGACUUAGAUUUAUAUUUAGGUGCAGUAACUUAAAUAUGUGGUCUGUUCGACCAGUUAUUAUCUCCAUGAGUUGAGUUAAGACCGGCGUAAGCCAGGUCGGUUCUUAUCUAUUGGGGCAGUUUAUCAGUACGAAAGGACAGUAAGCUUUUUUAGUU